UGAGAAGGAUUCCUGAGUCGCAUCUUCCUUGCUGGUCGAGAUAUGCAGUAUUUUGGUGUGAAGCUCCAGGCAUACUAUAAAGAGAUUCCUGAGCCAUAAGAAGAGCUUGAUGAAGAUACCCAUUUAGGACUUAUUGAUGCAAAUUCUCUGUCUCUGUAGGUUACUUAGAUUUUUAUCUUAUCAACUGCAAGAAAAAUUUUAUCAGAUAAGGGUAGAAACAUGCAAUUAUCAAUAUGGUGUUAGGAAUCAUUUUACUAGGAGAAUUGCAAUACAAUGUUUUCCUGUUUGUCAUGAUCAAUAAUGACUUAGGUUAUUGAGCAUUUUAACAGUAAUAGAUUUAGUUUCAUCAUAUGGCAUUGUCCUUAAAUCCAACCAAAUGUGUUUGGUAACUCUCAUAACAUUUCUGCCACUAUUGUGCUAAUAUAUCUUGUUUUCAUAUUUCUGUUGUGGGCUGCACGGUCUGUAGCUAGGUGACAUUAUUGACUACAUUUUGCUUUCAGUAGUAUGCAUAGUACCUUCCAGCACCAUGACACUAAACAACAUAUAUGAAGCUUGUACAUAAGUACCACCUCAAUUUCUCCAUUAGUAAGUGUCAACAUCAAAAAUAAGGCCUUAGCAUAUGGUUUUAAGAAAAACAAUUAGCCCUACCAAUAGCCUAUGAUGAUUGCAAGCAUCUGUAGGAUCCCUUUUGACAACAACUCAACAAGCUGUAUAUCAUUCCCGUGCCUGGAGUUUUACUUGAUGGUAUCUCUAACUGUGCCCUUGUCAUUCAGUAUCAUCCAGACACAACAGAGAAGAUACACAUAUUGACUACCAAAUACUAUGAAAGUAUGCACAGUACCUGCACAUGUUCAAAUAGACAAAAUCAAAGUACUUGUAAGAGGAACUGGAACCAGUCUCAUCUUAAAUAGGGACACCAUUGACAACCUUCCUGGGAAAUGCAAUAUCAGUUUUCUCCAAUGCAAUGUCACUGGAUUAUACAAGUUAGUCAAUACCCCAAACCAAAGAGUAGUACUUGGCCAAGACAUCUUGAACUCACAAUUUUGUUAUCAUUUUUGUUUGUAUUGUAGAGCUGUUUAGUGUUGGCUAUUUUUUGCCUAACAAAUUUGUUUUAAUAUUUUUUUGUUUAUGGGCUUCCUUUCUUUCCUUUUGGGUGGUAGGGACAGAGAGAGGGAGAG
Molecule: long non-coding RNA, 1178 nt
Organism: Mesocricetus auratus (golden hamster)
Lineage: Eukaryota; Metazoa; Chordata; Mammalia; Rodentia; Cricetidae
Exons: 3
Source: RefSeq, a predicted model, not a curated record